This is a long non-coding RNA of Hypanus sabinus (Atlantic stingray), 3120 nucleotides long. RefSeq lists it as uncharacterized. The record is from RefSeq and is a predicted model, not a curated record. NCBI's taxonomy places the organism in Eukaryota, Metazoa, Chordata, Chondrichthyes, Myliobatiformes, Dasyatidae. The transcript has 2 exons.
UGAGAUUAGUUUUUCCCUCCGACACCACCCAUCGUACCUCACCCUGGGACGAGAUGCUGAGAUGAUCUGCGGGUGCGCAGUCACCGGGCGCGUCACGCAGGGAUUUCCUUUCGGCGAGGAAGCCGCGCUUUAGUGCGGAAUUCCACGGGGCUCCGCACCUCCCGAACCAUGGGGCAUCGUGAUCCGAUUUUUCUUUUGAUCAGCAGCGUAUUAAAUGAGAAAGCCACAGCGCUGCGUGUUCUCAGCUCCUCCUGCAGAGGGACUGGCCCCCUCCAAAUCCUGAGGCUUGGGUGCAGUCGGCCAGCGGAGCCUGGCACCGUGACAGGGCUGCGCUGUCAGAAAUUUGCCAGGUUCCCUGGAGUCUAAAUGACAGCGGUUCCAUCCCUUUCGGUUCACACUUGGUCAUCAAGCAGGUCGUUUGUCACACACCAGCGAUCGACCCUUGGCAUGAAGAGUUGGACUGUUUGGCUCUUUACUUCAGGCAGGGGCCACUCCGGGCUGAGCCCAGCAACCCCGCAGCAGUUCAGGUAAGGCGCCCACGUGACCGGCGGGAUACCUCAGCCUUCAGCACGUCGCAGUGGAAAGUGUGCGGGUCCCAGACUCCCCACAGCUCGAAAGUCUAAUUGGCUCUGCAUUUCUCAACUUCAGCCAGCAGGAUUCGGCCCAUACUAUUACUUUGUCAGCGAUAAUUAUGGCUUCCAGAAAUCAAUGAUCAACCUGUUCAGCUUGUUUACUUGUGAAAAAAAAACUCUGCACCCGAUCACUAUCAAACCAACCUUUACAUUGCAUCAGAAGCAUCUCAAAAAAAAGUAAAGCUUUCGGUUGUGCAUCUGGACAGUGUAUGUGUGGGUUUCCUCCCGAUCCUCCAGUUUCCUCCCACAAUCCAAAGACCUACCAGUUGAUUGGUCAUCAUAAAUUAUCCUUGUGACUCGCCUAGGGUUGAACUGGAGGGUUGCUGGGCCGUGCAUGAACCAAAAUUCUAAAUAAAAUUUAUUUAGCCAUUGAAAUGGAACACAUGAUUAGGCCAAGGCUCAUUCAGGGAGCUGUUUUACAAUGAUUUUGGAAAUCAUCUAGUUUAGUUUCAGACUGAUGAGAGGAAUGAACUCUGUGGCUACAGCACAGUGCCUGAGGGAGAGUAAAAGAUUUCUCCACACCCAGGCUGAAACACUAUCAGCUAAAUUCACCUAUUUUAAAUAGAAUUAAUGUUUGUAAAAGGAAUGUCAACUUAUACUUGAAAACUCCAGAAAAAAAUUUGACUUGUGAAGAUGAGAUACAUAUGUUUCUUGAUGAACUGUUAGCCCAGGGGCUUAAGUUGUUGGAUUAAAUUGGAGUGUGGGUGUGUAAAGAAAGAGUAGGCUUUGAGGCGGGCAGUUUGAGAAGAUCCAGCUUGAGGAAUUCAUGUUGCCAAGAGUUAAUUGGAGGACAUUUCAACUGGUGAUUUCACCAUGCUAACUGUUCAGAAACCUGAAAGCUUAAAGGAUGGCAAUGAAAUGUCAUUGUGCAUUGGAACUGAUGUUGUCAAAAGGAGAAGAAAUUGUAAUCCAAAGUAACAUAGCUUCGAGGUGUACCUUUAACCUCAAUAGUAAACAUUUCUACAAAUACCUCCAGCUAAGAAGUUUUGUUAAGGUAAACCAAAACAACACAAUUGCCAGAUCCCUACAUUCACACUUGAAAAAAAAUUACAAUAAAGGACAGUUUGAGAAAGGGUAUCAUUUUGUAAUUUUAUAAUUUGCUGGUAUCUUGCUUGUCUGAAAAUUCACAAUACAAAUUGAAAACUUAGGAGGAAAAUUUGCAGCUUAAAAUUUCGGACGAAGAGUGGAAAACAGCUUGUACCAAUGCUCAUACUAAGUCAAUAAACACUCGCCUUAAAUUGAUACAGUACAAAUGGUUAAUGUUGACAUAUGUCACACCAGUGGAAUUAAACUGAUACAACAAAAACAUAUCAGACAUAUGCACAAAAUGUACAGAAGCUAAAGGUACAUUGUUUUAUUGUAUGUGGCAAUGUAGAGAGAUUGGAGCAUUCUGGGAAGAAGUACGAGCUAUAAUCAAGAAAAUUAUUUCAGAACAAGUUUCACUGGACCCUAAACUCUUUCUGUUGAGUUUGUACCUAGAGAAACAUAAUUACAGAAAAAAUUACAAGCACUUAUAGAUCUCAGCUUACUUCAUGCUAAAACAUGUAUUGCACAAUUAUGGAAAAGUACUCAUAGACCAGGCACUACUCAAUGGAUAAGGCAGAUGUUCUCAAAGUCUCCCAUUGGAAAGGAUAACCUAUAUAUUAAGGUCUAAACAGCAGAUAUUUGAGAAUAUAUGGAGAUCCUUCAUUAACUACGUCAAGGAUGUGGACUUAACAGAAGAUUAAGAGUAUUAUCUUCUGUAGACAAUGCAGCUUCCAAAAUUUGUAGAAGAUUUAUAUUAUUUAUUUAUUUAUUGAUUAUAAAUACCUGUUAAAUUUUACACAUUUUUUACCACUUGUUAAAAUAGGAGAAGCAUUUUGUGUGUUUUUUUUGUGUGUGUUGUCUUGUUUGUUGUGUUAAUACAGCAACUUCUGUAUUUUCUGAAUAACAUAAGAAAGUAUAGGAAGGUAAAAGCUGUAUUUCAUGGUAUUAAAAUGCAAAUAAACAUAUUGUGGUAAAAAAAUAGCUUGCAAAGAAACUGCAAAUGACUUAAUAUCCAAGGUAUUUAAAUAUAUUCAAUUAAAACAGAGGCUCCCAACCUCUUCUAUACCGUGGGCCAAUACUGUUAAGCAAAGGGUUUGUGGACCCCCAGAUUGGGAACCCCUAAAUUUAACAGUAAUGGGUUAUUUACUUCAUGGAAGAUCCAGUAACCCUUAAAGCUUUAAAUGCAACCAAAAGACUUAAUUUGAACAGCAUGGUAAAUGUGUACAUCUCUUUAUUGCUCCAUCAUUCAUAAAAAGAUUAUUCUUAAUUAGCUCAUGUGACAAACUUGCACCUCCCCAUAAGGCAAUAUGUAGUAUUGUUAAGGCAGCUGGAAAAAGUUAUCAGUAUAUAACACGGCUCUGCAUAAACUGAAAAUGUUCCCUCUUUCCCAUAAUAUGAUCCAUAAAAAAUUGGGAGAAAUUAAUUGACAAGUAACAGCACUCAAUAAUUCACACAUUAUGUU